GAAGACUACCAGGUUGAUAGGUCGGAGGUGUAAGCACGGUAACGUGUUCAGCUGACCGAUACUAAUAGGUCGAGGGCUUGAUCAA
Molecule: ribosomal RNA, 85 nt
Filed under: Clostridium aestuarii
Lineage: Bacteria; Bacillati; Bacillota; Clostridia; Eubacteriales; Clostridiaceae
Description: partial 23S ribosomal RNA
Rfam family: Bacterial large subunit ribosomal RNA
Source: RNAcentral